CGCGGCCUAUCAGCUUGUUGGUGGGGUAAUGGCCUACCAAGGCUUUGACGGGUAGCCGGCCUGAGAGGGUGACCGGCCACACUGGGACUGAGACACGGCCCAGACUCCUACGGGAGGCAGCAGUGGGGAAUAUUGCACAAUGGGCGCAAGCCUGAUGCAGCGACGCCGCGUGAGGGACGAAGGCCUUCGGGUCGUAAACCUCUUUCAGCAGGGACGAAGCGCAAGUGACGGUACCUGCAGAAGAAGCACCGGCUAACUACGUGCCAGCAGCCGCGGUAAUACGUAGGGUGCGAGCGUUGUCCGGAAUUAUUGGGCGUAAAGAGCUCGUAGGCGGUUUGUCGCGUCUGCCGUGAAAGUCCGGGGCUCAACUCCGGAUCUGCGGUGGGUACGGGCAGACUAGAGUGAUGUAGGGGAGACUGGAAUUCCUGGUGUAGCGGUGAAAUGCGCAGAUAUCAGGAGGAACACCGGUGGCGAAGGCGGGUCUCUGGGCCGAUACUGACGCUGAGGAGCGAAAGCGUGGGGAGCGAACAGGAUUAGAUACCCUGGUAGUCCACGCCGUAAACGUUGGGCACUAGGUGUGGGGGACAUUCCACGUUUUCCGCGCCGUAGCUAACGCAUUAAGUGCCCCGCCUGGGGAGUACGG
This 643-nucleotide ribosomal RNA is filed under the name uncultured Actinomycetes bacterium. RNAcentral describes it as "bacterial SSU rRNA". It matches the Rfam family "Bacterial small subunit ribosomal RNA", at positions 232 to 885 of the family's 1533-position model. Lineage: Bacteria; Bacillati; Actinomycetota; Actinomycetes. The record is from RNAcentral.